ACGUGUGGAGCAAGCGUUAUCCGGAUUUACUGGGUGUAAAGGGUGCGUAGGUGGCAGUGCAAGUCAGAUGUGAAAGGCCGGGGCUCAACCCCGGAGCUGCAUUUGAAACUGCUCGGCUAGAGUACAGGAGAGGCAGGCGGAAUUCCUAGUGUAGCGGUGAAAUGCGUAGAUAUUAGGAGGAACACCAGUGGCGAAGGCGGCCUGCUGGACUGUUACUGACACUGAGGCACGAAAGCGUGGGGAGCAAACAG
RNAcentral lists this ribosomal RNA (251 nucleotides) under uncultured bacterium. Its description in RNAcentral is "partial 16S ribosomal RNA". It matches the Rfam family "Bacterial small subunit ribosomal RNA", at positions 525 to 775 of the family's 1533-position model. The record is from RNAcentral.